RNAcentral lists this long non-coding RNA (652 nucleotides) under Oryza sativa Indica Group (long-grained rice). RNAcentral's name for it is "lncRNA OsMH63_05G014750". The record is from RNAcentral. Lineage: Eukaryota; Viridiplantae; Streptophyta; Magnoliopsida; Poales; Poaceae.
AUGCGGGCGAAGAGGGGCGACGGCGGGUGGAGUGCCGACGCGUCCGAACUCCGAAACCGGCGGGGCGACGGCACAUGCUGGCGGAGAUCGGCGCGGGGCCGAUCGACGGCGGCCUGGGGGCCCCGACUUGCUGAUGCUGUUGAAGACGAACAGGAGGGCGUGUACAACUUGCUUCUUCUUGUGGUGAUGGACGACGACGGCGGGAGCUUGCUACUUGUUGCUGCUAGCUUGCUUCUUGUCUGUGGAUUUAACAGCUUGGCGUUGGAUCUUGCGGCUUGCCUGUGGAUCUGGAUAUGCUCGUUGCUUGCUGAUGAAGAUGCGCUUGUUGCUGACGGGAGAGCUGAUGGGAUGACGAGACCGACGGACGGUGGCUCGCCGGCGACAGAUGCUUGCUGCUUGAUACCGGCGAUCCCCACAGCGGAGGUGCGUGUCCUCCUCCUCCUCGAACCCAUCGCUAUCAUUGUCGUCGUCUUCAGCGGCGUCGGCAUCGGCAUCGGCAUCGGCAUCGUCGUCGUCUUCAGCAGCGGCGUCGGCAUGCGUCGUCUUCGGCGGCGUCGGGCGCCGCGUUCGGGGUGUGUAUGGGGGGAGUGCGGCAUGCGCGUGUUUGCUACAUCAGCGGCGGAGGUGGGGGUGGAGGGGUGAGGUGCGGGAU